Non-coding RNA from Peromyscus maniculatus bairdii (prairie deer mouse), 248 nucleotides. The record is from RefSeq and is a predicted model, not a curated record. NCBI's taxonomy places the organism in Eukaryota, Metazoa, Chordata, Mammalia, Rodentia, Cricetidae.
CCCAAAAUUCAGCCCAGUGGGAGGAGGAGGACGGCCCUGAGCUCUCAGGGUGAGGGGUUUUUAAAGGGAAAAACCGUAAGCAGGGUGGUACAAGCCUUGGCAUCAUAUGAUUGUGUGAGGGUGUAUAACCUUUGAAUUUAUUGGUAGAGGUUACAGUUAUCAUUUUUGAGCAGGCCUGGACAAGUCCCAGGCUUUGAGGCUUUGUCCUUGAGCUGCCAUGGGGGCUGGCUGGCCUUGCACGUUCACAC